GAUGAACGCUGGCGGCGUGCCUAAUACAUGCAAGUCGAGCGAACAGACGAGGAGCUUGCUCCUCUGACGUUAGCGGCGGACGGGUGAGUAACACGUGGAUAACCUACCUAUAAGACUGGGAUAACUUCGGGAAACCGGAGCUAAUACCGGAUAAUAUAUUGAACCGCAUGGUUCAAUAGUGAAAGACGGUUUUGCUGUCACUUAUAGCUGGAUCCGCGCCGCAUUAGUUAGUUGGUAAGGUACCGGCUUACCAAGGCGACGAUGCGUAGCCGACCUGAGAGGGUGAUCAGCCACACUGGAACUGAGACACGGUCCAGACUCCUACGGGAGGCAGCAGUAGGGAAUCUUCCGCAAUGGGCGAAAGCCUGACGUAGCAACGCCGCGUGAGUGAUGAAGGACUUCGGAUGGGAAAGCUCUGUUGUUGGGAGAGAACAAAUGUUGAUGUAUCCAGGCACGUCUUGACGGUACCUAAUGAGUAAGCCACGGCUAACUACGUG
RNAcentral lists this ribosomal RNA (497 nucleotides) under uncultured bacterium. RNAcentral describes it as "partial 16S ribosomal RNA". It matches the Rfam family "Bacterial small subunit ribosomal RNA", at positions 28 to 507 of the family's 1533-position model. The record is from RNAcentral.